RNAcentral lists this small nucleolar RNA (223 nucleotides) under Daphnia pulicaria. RNAcentral describes it as "small nucleolar RNA U3". It matches the Rfam family "Small nucleolar RNA U3". From Rfam's summary of the family: Small nucleolar RNAs (snoRNAs) are involved in the processing and modification of rRNA in the nucleolus. Lineage: Eukaryota; Metazoa; Arthropoda; Branchiopoda; Diplostraca; Daphniidae. The record is from RNAcentral.
AAGAUCAUACUUCACAGGAUCAUUUCUGUAGUAUAUCUUGACUUGUUUCCCACCAGAAACUUGUCUCCUUUCAACCCACGAUGACGAGUUAAGACGCUGGUUUCUGAGCGUGAAACAGGCUGUGAGUGUAGCUGUCUCGACAGCCAUCAAACACAGUCAUUGAGGACCGUUUCCGUUAAAUCCAUGUGAAAUAGCGGAAGGAAACUAGCGUGUUCAGAGUGGU